GCGCCCGUAGCUCAGCUGGAUAGAGUGUCGCACUACGAAUGCGAAGGUCAGAGGUUCGAAUCCUCUCGGGCGUA
Molecule: transfer RNA, 74 nt
Filed under: Rubricoccus marinus
Lineage: Bacteria; Pseudomonadati; Rhodothermota; Rhodothermia; Rhodothermales; Rubricoccaceae
Also listed under: 1 other name
Rfam family: tRNA
About the family: Transfer RNA (tRNA) molecules are approximately 80 nucleotides in length.
Source: Rfam by way of RNAcentral